GUGGAAUUGAUUUUAUGCUGACACAGGGUUGGGCAAAAGUAGGUUUAUAGUUGCAUUAUGACAUUCUUUUGAGUAAAUAGAGCUAUUGUGCUAAUCAUAACCUGCGUGCCUUUUUCCAUAUGAACAACAAUAAAGCUACUUUUGCCCAGCCCUGUAUAAAUGCUGCAAACUAAAGGGUUAUAUUGAAAGGGGCAGGGAAGGGGGGGUGACUUACAGUUCAGGAUCAAUAGCUAUAUUACCCUAAAAUCUUACCACUUUAAGUAGAGAUUUAUUGGACUUUUUAUAGCUUUUAAAAUGGAUAGAUUUAUCAAGUGCUUAAAUUUUAAAGUACA
Pipistrellus kuhlii (Kuhl's pipistrelle) is the source of this 332-nucleotide long non-coding RNA. RefSeq lists it as uncharacterized. NCBI's taxonomy places the organism in Eukaryota, Metazoa, Chordata, Mammalia, Chiroptera, Vespertilionidae. The transcript is spliced from 4 exons. The record is from RefSeq and is a predicted model, not a curated record.